AACGAACGCUGGCGGCAUGCCUAACACAUGCAAGUCGAACGAAGGCUUCGGCCUUAGUGGCGCACGGGUGCGUAACGCGUGGGAAUCUGCCCUUUGGUUCGGAAUAACAGCUGGAAACGGCUGCUAAUACCGGAUGAUGACGAAAGUCCAAAGAUUUAUCGCCAGAGGAUGAGCCCGCGUUGGAUUAGGUAGUUGGUGGGGUAAAGGCCUACCAAGCCGACGAUCCAUAGCUGGUCUGAGAGGAUGAUCAGCCACACUGGGACUGAGACACGGCCCAGACUCCUACGGGAGGCAGUAGUGGGGAAUAUUGGACAAUGGGCGCAAGCCUGAUCCAGCAAUGCCGCGUGAGUGAUGAAGGCCCUAGGGUUGUAAAGCUCUUUUACCCGGGAAGAUAAUGACUGUACCGGGAGAAUAAGCCCCGGCUAACUCCGUG
Molecule: ribosomal RNA, 433 nt
Filed under: uncultured bacterium
Lineage: Bacteria
Description: partial 16S ribosomal RNA
Rfam family: Bacterial small subunit ribosomal RNA
Source: RNAcentral